GACGAACGCUGGCGGCGUGCCUAAUACAUGCAAGUAGAACGCGGCAUGGUGGAGCUUGCUCUUCUUGGAUGAGUGGCGGACAGGUGAGUAACGCGUAGGUUACCAGCCUUGUGGCGGCGGAUAACUAUGGGAAACGUGAGCUAAUACCGCAUAACACUGGGUGGCACAUGUCUUUUAUUUGAAAGGGGCAAUUGCUCAACUAUAAGAUGAACCUCCGUUGUAUUAGAUAGAGGGUGAGGGAAGGGCUCACCUAGUCGACGAUACAUAGCCGACCUGGGAGGGGAAUCGGCCCCGCUGGGACUGGGUCACGGCCCAGACUCGUACGGGAGGCCGCAGUAGGGAACCUUCGGCAGUGGGGGCAACCCUUACCGGGCAACGGCGCGGGGGUGGAUAAGGUUUUAGGGUCUUAAAGAUCUGUUGUACGGCAAGAUCGGGUGUUAGGGUGGAAAGUUCACACUAUGACGGUAGCUGAGCAGAAAGGGACGGCUAACUACGUG
This 497-nucleotide ribosomal RNA is filed under the name uncultured bacterium. RNAcentral describes it as "partial 16S ribosomal RNA". It matches the Rfam family "Bacterial small subunit ribosomal RNA", at positions 28 to 507 of the family's 1533-position model. The record is from RNAcentral.